Molecule: long non-coding RNA, 974 nt
Organism: Poecilia latipinna (sailfin molly)
Lineage: Eukaryota; Metazoa; Chordata; Actinopteri; Cyprinodontiformes; Poeciliidae
Exons: 2
Source: RefSeq, a predicted model, not a curated record
AACAUGCAGACAGAGGCAGAGUUGAGUACAUAGUUCAAAACCUGAUCAGGGUUAGGUUUUUACCAGACACGCAGCUUAAAAACUGGGCUACUGCUUCUUUAUACAAUCAAAAAAGUUUGACAAACGGGUUUCUAAGCUAAAACCUAAAUUGGGUUUCUCUUUUAGAAACAAGAGUUUCUCAUACCUUGUUAAAAGGCUCCUUGUUGGUACUCAUCUACUCAUACAUUUUGUAUUUUUACUCGUCAUAUUGAUUAUUUCACUUUUAUUGAUUACUCUGUUUUUCAUUUGUUAUUUGCUCAUUUAUUGUUUGUUUUGUCUUAUGUUUCCAGAUAGUCUAGCUGAGCAAGAUGAGGUUUGACUGUGGGAAAGUUUACUUUGCUCAACAUUUGCAGCAUUCAUAAGUUCAUUUCCUGUGUACGAGCAUAUGCCUCCGGUAAAAACCAGAUAGGUUUUGCCACGCAUCAUCGUCCCUGUUCAUCUCCAUGCGUGACCAUCUCACUGCUACUGUGAAAAAGGAAGUGAAGCAAACUAAUUCGGAGUUUGCAGUCAUUCCGGGAGGAUUAACAAAAGAACUCCAACCGCUGGACAUUGGUGUAAACAGGGCGUUCAAAAAGAACUUGCGAGCGGCGUGGGAAUGAUGGAUGACAAACUGCGAACACACAUUUACUAAGACGGGGAGGCAGCGCCGGGCGAGUUACACCACCAUGUGUGAAUGGAUUGUGGAUGCCUGGGCUAAUGCAUCUGCCUUAACUGUUGUCCAAGCUUUCUCAAAAGUCGGCAUCGUUGCUGAACAGCCACCUGGCAACGAGGCUGACUUCGACAAUGAUGAGAGGGAACCUGGCAUGUUUGAUGGCAAAUUGACCAGUUGUUCAAUUCAGACAUAGAAGAGGAGGACUUUGAUGGAUUUGUGGAAGAAGAAUAAAAAGUAACGUGAGUGUAUUGUUACAUAGUCGAAUAAAGUUCAACUAAACUUA